Molecule: ribosomal RNA, 447 nt
Filed under: uncultured bacterium
Lineage: Bacteria
Description: partial 16S ribosomal RNA
Rfam family: Bacterial small subunit ribosomal RNA
Source: RNAcentral
CCAGACUCCUACGGGAGGCAGCAGUGGGGAAUAUUGCACAAUGGGGGAAACCCUGAUGCAGCAACGCCGCGUGAGUGAGGAAGUAUUUCGGUAUGUAAAGCUCUAUCAGCAGGGAAUAGAAAAGAAGGUACCUGAAAAAGAAGCCCCGGCUAACUACGUGCCAGCAGCCGCGGUAAUACGUAGGGGGCAAGCGUUAUCCGGAUUUACUGGGUGUAAAGGGGGCGCAGACGGCAGCGCAAGCCAGGAGUGAAAGCCCGGGGCCCAACCCCGGGACUGCUCUUGGAACUGCGCGGCUGGAGUGCAGGAGGGGCAGGCGGAAUUCCUGGUGUAGCGGUGAAAUGCGUAGAUAUCAGGAGGAACACCGGUGGCGAAGGCGGCCUGCUGGACUGCGACUGACGUUGAGGCCCGAAAGCGUGGGGAGCAAACAGGAUUAGAUACCCGGGUAGG